This 1281-nucleotide ribosomal RNA is filed under the name Serratia marcescens. RNAcentral's name for it is "bacterial SSU rRNA". It matches the Rfam family "Bacterial small subunit ribosomal RNA", at positions 77 to 1356 of the family's 1533-position model. The record is from RNAcentral. Lineage: Bacteria; Pseudomonadati; Pseudomonadota; Gammaproteobacteria; Enterobacterales; Yersiniaceae.
UGCUCCCUGGGUGACGAGCGGCGGACGGGUGAGUAAUGUCUGGGAAACUGCCUGAUGGAGGGGGAUAACUACUGGAAACGGUAGCUAAUACCGCAUAACGUCGCAAGACCAAAGAGGGGGACCUUCGGGCCUCUUGCCAUCAGAUGUGCCCAGAUGGGAUUAGCUAGUAGGUGGGGUAAUGGCUCACCUAGGCGACGAUCCCUAGCUGGUCUGAGAGGAUGACCAGCCACACUGGAACUGAGACACGGUCCAGACUCCUACGGGAGGCAGCAGUGGGGAAUAUUGCACAAUGGGCGCAAGCCUGAUGCAGCCAUGCCGCGUGUGUGAAGAAGGCCUUCGGGUUGUAAAGCACUUUCAGCGAGGAGGAAGGUGGUGAGCUUAAUACGCUCAUCAAUUGACGUUACUCGCAGAAGAAGCACCGGCUAACUCCGUGCCAGCAGCCGCUGUAAUACGGAGGGUGCAAGCGUUAAUCGGAAUUACUGGGCGUAAAGCGCACGCAGGCGGUUUGUUAAGUCAGAUGUGAAAUCCCCGGGCUCAACCUGGGAACUGCAUUUGAAACUGGCAAGCUAGAGUCUCGUAGAGGGGGGUAGAAUUCCAGGUGUAGCGGUGAAAUGCGUAGAGAUCUGGAGGAAUACCGGUGGCGAAGGCGGCCCCCUGGACGAAGACUGACGCUCAGGUGCGAAAGCGUGGGGAGCAAACAGGAUUAGAUACCCUGGUAGUCCACGCUGUAAACGAUGUCGAUUUGGAGGUUGUGCCCUUGAGGCGUGGCUUCCGGAGCUAACGCGUUAAAUCGACCGCCUGGGGAGUACGGCCGCAAGGUUAAAACUCAAAUGAAUUGACGGGGGCCCGCACAAGCGGUGGAGCAUGUGGUUUAAUUCGAUGCAACGCGAAGAACCUUACCUACUCUUGACAUCCAGAGAACUUUCCAGAGAUGGAUUGGUGCCUUCGGGAACUCUGAGACAGGUGCUGCAUGGCUGUCGUCAGCUCGUGUUGUGAAAUGUUGGGUUAAGUCCCGCAACGAGCGCAACCCUUAUCCUUUGUUGCCAGCGGUUCGGCCGGGAACUCAAAGGAGACUGCCAGUGAUAAACUGGAGGAAGGUGGGGAUGACGUCAAGUCAUCAUGGCCCUUACGAGUAGGGCUACACACGUGCUACAAUGGCAUAUACAAAGAGAAGCGACCUCGCGAGAGCAAGCGGACCUCAUAAAGUAUGUCGUAGUCCGGAUUGGAGUCUGCAACUCGACUCCAUGAAGUCGGAAUCGCUAGUAAUCGUAGAUCAGAAUG